RNAcentral lists this ribosomal RNA (497 nucleotides) under uncultured bacterium. Its description in RNAcentral is "partial 16S ribosomal RNA". It matches the Rfam family "Bacterial small subunit ribosomal RNA", at positions 28 to 507 of the family's 1533-position model. The record is from RNAcentral.
GAUGAACGCUGGCGGCGUGCCUAAUACAUGCUAGUCGAGCGAACAGACGAGGAGCUUGCUCCUCUGACGUUAGCGGCGGACGGGUGAGUAACACGUGGAUAACCUACCUAUAAGACUGGGAUAACUUCGGGAAACCGGAGCUAAUACCGGAUAAUAUAUUGAACCGCAUGGUUCAAUAGUGAAAGACGGUUUUGCUGUCACUUAUAGAUGGAUCCGCGCCGCAUUAGCUAGUUGGUAAGGUAACGGCUUACCAAGGCAACGAUGCGUAGCCGACCUGAGCGGGCGGUCGCCGACACUGGAACUAAUACACGGUCCAGACACCUCAGGGAGCCAGCAGUAGAGAAUCUUACGCAAUGGGCGAACGCUUGACGGAGCAACGCCGCGUCAGUGAUGAAGGUCUACGGAUCGUAAACCUCUGUUCUUAGGGAAGAACAAAUGUGUCAGUAACUAUGCACCUCUUGACGGUACCUGAUCAGCAAGCCACGGCUAACUACGUG